AACUCCGCGGGGGCCGUGCCAGGAGACCCGGGGCGCACAGUCCUCUGCGAGGAGGUGUGGCUGAGCUGAGGGUCUCUUGAAAGCAGGAUUAGAAUCCAAGGAAAAACGAAGGAAAACUGUUCUGCUCCUGCGGAUGUGACUAGGGCGGUCAUGCAGCCCCUGAGGGAUGGGCAGGAAUGACCGAUGGAGAGGCAGACCUGGCACGACAUCCACCAGAACAGACCAAAACCCUUCGCUGGGGCCGGAGGAACCGCUGCCGCCGCACUUGUCUUGGAAGGGGCUCAAGAAUGAUGCAGUAGAUGGCAGAAUGGCCCUGCACAGAAGGCUGGAGACUCACAGGUAAUAUUUUUACAAGAAGUGAAGUAUUUAUCUUAGAGUUUCUCAUUUCAUUUAUGGAUGGACACUUGAAGAAAAAACCCCAGGCCCUGGCUGUUGGCUCUCAGCACCUCUAAUUUGUUACUUUGAUUUUGCAUUAAGAAUGUCUUGGUAAAGUUGCACUAUACUUUGAGGUG
This 512-nucleotide long non-coding RNA is filed under the name Junco hyemalis (dark-eyed junco). RNAcentral's name for it is "lncRNA (ENSJHYG00000017308.1)". Lineage: Eukaryota; Metazoa; Chordata; Aves; Passeriformes; Passerellidae. The record is from RNAcentral.